GAAAUACUCCCUCCGUCCAACAAAAGAUGUCUCAAGUUUGUCAAUUUGAAUGUAUCUAGAUACGAUUUUGUGUAUAAAUGCAUUCAAAUUUAAUCAAAGUCGAGACAUCCUUUGUUGGACGGAUGGAGUAUUUA
Brachypodium distachyon (stiff brome) is the source of this 134-nucleotide non-coding RNA. NCBI's taxonomy places the organism in Eukaryota, Viridiplantae, Streptophyta, Magnoliopsida, Poales, Poaceae. The record is from Rfam.